GCCAGCAUAUCUGCUUGCGCUUUAACGCGAAAUUCAAUCGAAACGUCAAAUGUGAUAAAUUAGAAGAAUGCGAAAGUGAAAAAGUGGCUGCUUCCCAAAUUGCUUUUUGCUUUUUAGCCGCACCUAACGUCUCAGCUCCUAACAAAUUAAUCUAAUCCUGGCCAGCUGAAAUGAUAAAAAGCUGAAUUUACACGAGUUGCUCAAUGCGUUCCACAUUCUUGCGUGCGUUGAGAUUGUUUUUGUACUUUGAAGGUGUCAGUUUUGGUUUGACGUCUGGCAAGUGGUUGUCAAAUGAUUACAAACGAAAAAGUGCAUAAGCCAUUGUCAAAAGUCACGAAUGAUAGAAUACAUCGUGGUUAAAAACAAUCAAACACGGAUGAGUACCUCGGGAUGUGUAUAAUGAAAGAAUUGUAACUAAAAAAGUGUACAUCACAGUGUUUAUUGGUAAAUAAUGUGCAAACAAAUAAUAGUAAAGUAGUAAAGCGUUUUCACAAGUUUUCAGUGUACAUUUGCCGCAAGAGUCUCUAUAGCGUCGGUAGGAGGCCAAUUCCGAGCGGUGGCAGCAGCAGCAUUACAAAAUACACUCAAAAAGAGAAGUUUGCUGAGUGUUACAACGCUUACACCACCCCCGAUUGAGCAUGAACACAACGCAAACGCACUUUGUACGCUGCCCACACGAGCACACGAAUUCCACAAACGUGAUGGCGGAGAACUAUGAAUAGAGCGAAUAUUGAUGCAGCCAUAGGUUCAUACGGCAACGCUUAUGCUAGUUUCAAUAGAUUGUCGAGAGCCAGCAACGCGUUGAGAGCGUUUUCCGUGCGUCCGUGCGCCAAUAUCCGAGAUAAAAAGCAAAUCAUUCAAGCGUUGUCACUGGCCACUAAUAAAUAUUGUGGAAACCCGGUAUCCCAGCAUUUCUAACGCACAGCAGUGUUUUACAAGAUCAAAUUAUCACCAAUAAUUCUGAAAGUAAGCAGACAUUAACAACUCGCCACUGCAGCAGCUAGCGCCCGUAACAGACCGACAACCCCGCCUAGUGCCCACCGCAUAAACGAAACAACCGCGCGCGUACGCGUUCGGUUGUAAAUGAGACCCUGAGCAAAAAUCGAUAUUUUCUUUGAUUUGCACGCUGCUAAAGUGGAUUUCACAUUUCUCUUCAAGCAAAAAAGGAAAUAACCGAAAUCGUACACAAGAAAUAAUCGGACUUGUUUGCAUUAAAAAGUAAAGUGAAUAAUAUAAAUUGAAUUGAAAAAAAAAAGUAAUUCAAAGUCAAAAUCAUUCCAUGAUAUUAACGAAAAAAAGGCAAGAAAACGUCAAACGAAUUUGUUGGCUAAUGUAAAAAGUGGAAUAACACAAAAAGCAGAAAUUGGAUAACGAAAAGCAGAGAAGAGACAGAAAGCAGUGUAAAAGAAAAAUCCUAUACACAAAAAAUCAACUACCAACAACCAAAAUCCAAUCGACUCUCAUUCAUAGCUGCUUAGGAAUUUUGGUAACAAUUUGCGCUGAUUUUUGCCAUCACAACCCACCCCUCUCCAUUGUUGUUCGGGAGCUUUUCGCCGAUAAGCUACGUUUUCGACACUGCUCGUCUAACAGCGUCAUCACCUUCAUCGUCAUCAUCAACAGCGAACGCAACAGCAGCAAACAGCGGAUACCAACAGUUUUUCUCCCAGCGCGUGUCUUGCAAUAUACAAGUAAAUACUUCAGGCGCAAGGGACAGAAGGUGUUCAUUAAAAGUAAAGUGUACCAAGUUUCGAAAGCACAUAUAUAUGUGUCUUGACAUGUGCAAAAAUUGCAGAUUCCUGGCAAGAAUUGGAAUUUGUAUUAAAAAUUGAUGCGAAGUUUAUGUGGUGUAAAUGCUUUACGAAAUUCAUUAUUCUUUGUGUUAGGCAAUGAAAUAAAAUAUUUUAAACCACAAAAAGUCUAAAUACGAAUUUGCUAAGCAAAAGUGAGACCGAAAGUGAGUCAUGCUGCCGUUGCCAUUGUCGCAUACGCUAUCGGUAUCGUCGCUGUUAACGUCGCCCAAAUUUUUGUCGAAUGUCGCUGUGGAUAUCACAGUAAAUUAAAUUUGUUGACCGUGAGCGUUACCUUCACCGUUCCACAUACCAGUACGCACGCUAAGACGAACCGCUUGCCACCAAUCGUAGCGCGGUAUAAAUUAGAAAAGCGAAAAUUUACAUAGUAUUAAAAACAAGCGAAAUAUAAUCUAAGUAAUACAAAAAAGUGGUUAAGUGGAAAAUAAAUUAUAGAAGUCAAAAGCAAAUUGCCGACAUUUUUAUUCGAAAAUUAGAAUUUUAAAAGAAACGCCUCGAUAACAACGAUUAUAAAGACAGCGGCACGGCCGUUUGUCCCAAACGUGCGCAUUUCGCAAGGAAAAAUCAAUAAUCGCCAGUCGAGCGAGCAACAAACUACCGCGCGCGUCCUCCCACCACCACAAGAAAAAAUACAGGCGUGGAAAGUGUUGCACACACGCGGUGCGCUGUGAGGCCGACAAAAUUUUGCAGUGAAAAAAGGAAAAUCCAAAAAAGAAUAAGCGUGUGUAAAGAAAAGAAAAUUCUGCUAAAGACCGAAUUUGGAAUUUCAAUUAAUUAAAAUUGCAUAAAAUAAUGAUAAGCUAAACUAGCGUUUUCGACGAGCACUGACUGCCACAUAAAUAUAAAAAUCGCCUUCAAAUUCAAACAACCGAACCCCUUGACCCUUAAAUAACCCACUGAAAGUUGAGCUAAACAAAGUCAGCGAACGACGUGAACAAACGGCAACGAAAGGCCGUUAGCUUAAAAAGUAAAAAUCAUAAUAAAUCACAAAUUUAAAGUCUAACAAGUGAUUUGUCGUCUACUUUUGUAAAAAACCAAACACUGCAAAAUGACAAAAGACAGAUUAGCCGCACUGCAUGCCGCUCAAUCCGAUGACGAAGAGUCAGAGGAAGUGGCGGUCAAUGUGGAUGCCCAUGAUUCGUACAUGGAUGAGUUCUUCAAGCAGGUGGAGGAGAUACGAGGCAUGAUCGACCGAGUGCAAGACAACGUAGAAGAAGUUAAAAAGAAGCACUCGGCCAUACUCUCCGCCCCUCAGUCCGAUGAGAAAACCAAGCAAGAGCUUGAAGAUUUGAUGGCCGAUAUUAAGAAGAAUGCAAAUCGCGUGCGUGGCAAACUAAAAAGCAUUGAACAGAAUAUCGAGCAAGAGGAGCAGCAGAACAAAUCGUCCGCCGAUUUGCGUAUACGCAAAACACAACAUUCAACGCUGUCGCGAAAAUUCGUCGAAGUGAUGACAGAAUACAAUCGCACGCAAACGGAUUACCGAGAGCGUUGCAAAGGCAGAAUACAGCGCCAGCUGGAGAUUACCGGUCGCGCAACGACCAGCGAAGAGUUGGAAGACAUGCUGGAACAGGGCAACCCGGCCGUAUUCACGCAGGGCAUCAUAAUGGAAACCCAACAGGCCAAACAAACGCUGGCCGACAUAGAGGCACGCCAUGCGGAUAUUAUGAAACUGGAGACAUCGAUUAAGGAGCUACACGACAUGUUCAUGGACAUGGCUAUGUUGGUGGAGUCGCAGGGCGAGAUGAUCGAUCGCAUUGAAUAUCAUGUGGAGCAUGCUAUGGACUACGUGCAGACGGCAACUCAAGAUACAAAGAAGGCGCUCAAAUACCAAAGCAAGGCGCGCCGAAAGAAGAUUAUGAUCCUGUUAUGUUUGACUGUGUUGGGUCUCAUAGUUGCUGCAUAUGUUGGCACAACUUUCAUGUAAAUGCAAUUACAUUAUUACUACUACAUGUUUAUUAUUUAUUACAUACAUAUAGUUACAAAAAGCAAAAGGCAAAAACAAAAGCAAAAAAAGUAUAUAGCAACAAAGUAAUAACAAUUAUUAUAACUAGUUAUUAUGUAGCUCUUAUAUCGCACGCUCGCAGCGAGAGUGGAUGGAUGUUGUUGAAAGCCACAAAAACAAAACCCAGCAGCGGUCAACGCAGCUUGGCUGCUACUGGGACGCGAGCAAAUGAGAAAGCGAUAAGAGUCUCAGAGAGAAAUGCCAUGCGGCCGUGAAUGCUGCCAAUUUGUAAGCUGCCUUUGCGGCCUAUUUGGUGAAUUAUUACUUACUUAAUUACCUAAUUAAUUGAUUAAAUGCUAAACAAAAAUAAUUAUAAUGUAUUUGCUAUAUUAUGAAAUCUUAUUGAUUACUGUUAUAAUGCGAAGCAACCACAACCUAAAACAUUAAAGUAAAUAUACACGAAAAAAAAAAAUGCAAAAAGUGAGAAAAUGAAAAGGCAAAUUAACGAAAAUUGCAUUGCAAUGAAAAACAACAAACAAAUUGAACUAAACAAGCAUAAAAUUAAUAAACAAAAAACAUUUAAAACAAAACUAUGUAUUGUACUUUUCAACCUCUCAUAAUUCUCAUAAUUGUUGAUAAGAGUUUCCGGUUAAAAGUUUAGUCACAAAUCGGUUGAAGGUCUGUCUUUUCGUUUGACUUGCUUUUAAGCGUAAAGUUAAAAAAAAAACAAAAACAAUAACAAAAAAUAAGAAAAUGAAAAUAGCAUAUUCAAAGCAAAAUUGACGCUGAAAGCGCGUUUACAAACAUUUUUCAAAAUAUCUCGUUUUCACGCAAUUUUAAGUUCACUUUAAAUGCAUACAUAUAUACAUACAUAUGUAUAAUUUGUACUUUCGAAAUCUCAUAUUUGUAUUAUAAGAAAAGUAACACGCUGUGUAUUUACUUACAUACUUAUUGCAUAUUUAUCUAGUUAACUCUUAUAUAGCAACAAUUUAUUAUUAAAACAAAAACCAAACAAGCUAUGAAACAAACAACAAAUAACUAUUUACUUAUUAAAAGCAUAUAAUCUCUCAAUAUAGAUUCUCUUUAUAUAUUGGAAAACUCAAUUGAAAGAAAUUCGAAAGAAAAAAAAAAUAAAAAAAUUAAAUGAAAAUAAAAAAGGGAAAUGUAACGUGAAAUUUAAGAAUUAAAUUAAAUUCGUAAAAACAAAUCACACUUUAAAUAAUUGACUAUAGCGUAAAAAAUAACGAAGAAAAAACAAAAAAAAAAAAACACGAAAUCACAACACACAGACACAUGCCUACAUAUACACAAAAAUAUUUGCACAUGUAUAUAAAGGUGCAUUUACAUAAAAUUAAAUAUGCAGCGGUAGUGAAAUAGAAAUACUAAUUAAUAACACAAAAUAAAACUUAACUUAACGCUCAUUAAUAACUUUUGUUUUUAGGUCAGAGCAAUAAUUAUUUCCAUUCAUACCUAUGUACAUAUGUGUGCGUUUGUAUAUAAGUAUAUUUAUUUAGUGAAAACAACAAUCACUUGAGUUUUUCCACCAUUAUGCUGAUACAUACAUUUAUAUUUAUUUGCUUGAUUAUUAAGUUAUUUGUGUAGAUAAGAUUACGCUUUCAAAUGCUAGCCAAUUUGAGUAAUAAUCAGAGUAUGCACUUGCAAAUUGUUUUUAUUUGCUGUGAUAAGCACGAGCGCUCAUACAUAAUGCAGAGUAUGAAUUUGUAAUUAAGAGAGAGAGAGAGAGAGUAGCGGUAUUCGUUUAGCAGAAUGGGGCCUGAGAUGAGGAGAAAUGUAUACAAAUGUGGUAGCAGCAUGCAAUUUUUUCAUAUUUUCGUAUUAAAAAGUGAGACUUUGUCAAAAUAAUAAGAGUUUAAAGUCAAAAAUGAUAAAAAUAAAGAAUUUUCAAAAAGAAUAUUCACUGCAUUAAAUCGAAAUCGUAGUGCUUGUAACAAGAUAAAUGAUUAAAAAAAGCUACAUACAUUUGCUGCUGCUGCAUUUUUUCUGUAUUUUUAAGUUAAAAAUAAUAACUUCGCAUGUGUACGAUUGCUUCUCUUUUUAUGUGUUGAAAAUCUCACACAUAACGGCAGCGAACUAGUGCUUGUAAAGCCUGCUAUUGUUCAGAGAGUUUCCCUAAGUGAAUAAGUAUGUUUUGUACGAAUGCAUUUAGUAAAAAAAAAACAAAAAAAAAACCUUAGCACGCAUCCAUGAGCGCCCCUAUUGUUAUUGUAUUUUGUUUUUUUUACACGUUGGGGGCGUACUAUUUAAUGAAUGGCAAAUGGCUGAUCUGUUGAAUGCCUGCAAUUCCAAAAAACAACUGUUCAACAUAUUUCAAACACCUAUGUACCUCUCACUCUCAAAUGAGAAUGCAAGCAAGCAAUUAAACAAAGAGAAAAUUGUAAGCAACAGUAACAAAAAAAAAGCAACAAACAGUGACUAACCGCACUCACAAGCACCUCUGAGUUACCUUUGAGCAGCACCACUUUCUUCUUCCAAAUGCACUGCAACUACAACACCAACAGCUAAGUAUCAACUAUACAGCCAAUGCACUGAUGCUCGCUAUAAAAAUAAAAACAAAAUCACAAAAAAAGUAGCAACUCCACUGCAAACUUUUUCUAGCCGCCUCAAUUAACUGCCAACGCACGCAAAUAAUGCACGAUAAAUUUGAAAAAAAAAACAAAAAAAGAAAAUAUGAAAUGAAACGCGCUUCACAGCAUGUCGAUUGCAAAUAAAUAGCAGAAAACAACAGAAAAGAAAAACUUGUGCAAGUUAGCGGCUCCUUCGUAUUAUUUCAAUAAAUCAAAUCAAAAUGCAAUUCAAUGCACGAUCAACGCCACAAAUGGGAUCCGAAACGGCGACGAUCCAGCGACCCACCAGCCAACGAACGAACUGCAAGGCCACCAACAAGUCAACUUUGCCACCUACAAAACAAAAACAACAUUAAUGAAAAACACCAAUGAGCGGCAACUGCUUGACAGCAAAUUUAUUUUUGCCAUUG
Molecule: RNA transcript, 6745 nt
Organism: Anastrepha obliqua
Lineage: Eukaryota; Metazoa; Arthropoda; Insecta; Diptera; Tephritidae
Gene: Syx1A
Gene name: syntaxin-1A
Exons: 2
Source: RefSeq, a predicted model, not a curated record